RNAcentral lists this ribosomal RNA (449 nucleotides) under uncultured bacterium. Its description in RNAcentral is "partial 16S ribosomal RNA". It matches the Rfam family "Bacterial small subunit ribosomal RNA", at positions 354 to 796 of the family's 1533-position model. The record is from RNAcentral.
GUCGAGAAUCUUUCACAAUGGGGGCAACCCUGAUGGAGCGACGCCGCGUGGAGGAUAAGGUCUUCGGAUUGUAAACUCCUGUCAUGCGUGAACAAGGUUGCUUGGUUAAUACCUGGGCAAAUUGAUGGUAACGCAAGAGGAAGAGACGGCUAACUCUGUGCCAGCAGCCGCGGUAAUACAGAGGUCUCAAGCGUUGUUCGGAAUCACUGGGCGUAAAGGGUGCGUAGGUGGCGUGGUAAGUCAGAUGUGAAAGCCCGGGGCUCAACCUCGGAACUGCAUCCGAUACUGCCAUGCGAGAGUACUGGAGAGGUGACUAGAAUUCUCGGUGUAGCAGUGAAAUGCGUAGAUAUCGAGAGGAAUACCAAAGGCGUAGGCAGGUCACUGGACAGUUACUGACACUGAGGCACGAAGGCCAGGGGAGCGAACGGGAUUAGAUACCCUUGUAGUCC